ACGCUGGCGGCAGGCCUAACACACGCAAGUCGAGCGGUAGAGAGAAGCUUGCUUCUCUUGAGAGCGGCGGACGGGUGAGUAAUGCCUAGGAAUCUGCCUGGUAGUGGGGGAUAACGUUCGGAAACGGACGCUAAUACCGCAUACGUCCUACGGGAGAAAGCAGGGGACCUUCGGGCCUUGCGCUAUCAGAUGAGCCUAGGUCGGAUUAGCUAGUUGGUGAGGUAAUGGCUCACCAAGGCGACGAUCCGUAACUGGUCUGAGAGGAUGAUCAGUCACACUGGAACUGAGACACGGUCCAGACUCCUACGGGAGGCAGCAGUGGGGAAUAUUGGACAAUGGGCGAAAGCCUGAUCCAGCCAUGCCGCGUGUGUGAUGAAGGUCUUCGGAUUGUAAAGCACUUUAAGUUGGGAGGAAGGGUUGUAGAUUAAUACUCUGCGAUUUUGACGUUACCGACAGAAUAAGCACCGGCUAACUCUGUGCCAGCAGCCGCGGUAAUACAGGGGGUGCAAGCGUUAAUCGGAAUUACUGGGCGUAAAGCGCGCGUAGGUGGUUUGUUAAGUUGGAUGUGAAAUCCCCGGGCUCAACCUGGGAACUGCAUUCAAAACUGACUGACUAGAGUAUGGUAGAGGGUGGUGGAAUUUCCUGUGUAGCGGUGAAAUGCGUAGAUAUAGGAAGGAACACCAGUGGCGAAGGCGACCACCUGGACUAAUACUGACACUGAGGUGCGAAAGCGUGGGGAGCAAAC
RNAcentral lists this ribosomal RNA (745 nucleotides) under uncultured bacterium. Its description in RNAcentral is "bacterial SSU rRNA". It matches the Rfam family "Bacterial small subunit ribosomal RNA", at positions 33 to 773 of the family's 1533-position model. The record is from RNAcentral.